RNA transcript from Lates calcarifer (barramundi perch), 4332 nucleotides. It is a transcript of the gene named caldesmon 1b, with no coding region annotated. The transcript is spliced from 18 exons. NCBI's taxonomy places the organism in Eukaryota, Metazoa, Chordata, Actinopteri, Centropomidae. The record is from RefSeq and is a predicted model, not a curated record.
GAGGCAGGCUUUGCCUUUUCUGGUAGUUAAAGCUGCUGAAAGAACAAGCAGGAAUUCUUUGUGCUGCAGAAGGGCUGAGAUAUAAACCAGACUGCAGAAGUUGAUAUAUGAAGAGAGGGAAGACACUGCUGUUCAUGGACUAAACUUCAGCUACUGUUAAGUGAGAACGUGAGGAGAAUCUUUUGGGCAUCAUGGACGAUGACUUUGACCGCCGCAUGGAGCUGAGGAGGCAGAGGAGAGAGCAGAUGCGCCUUGAGGCUGAAAAGGUGGGUUACACCAAUGACGAUGAUGAUGAGGAAGCACGGGAGCGAAGGAGACGUGCAAGGGAGGAGAGAAAGAAGAUGAGGGACUUAGAGGAGUCUGGUACCACUGACGUGAUCGACACUAACAGCGCAGAGACCGAGUCCUCCUCCACCACCACCAGCACCAGCACCGGAGGUGCAGAUGAUGACCAGGCUUUGCUGGAGCGCCUUGCCAAGAGGGAGGAGCGCAGGCAGAAGCGAAUGAAGGAGGCCAUGGAGAGACAGAAGGAGUUUGACCCCACUGUUGGCACCACCAACGGCACAGACAGCAUGCUGGAGGAGCAGUCCUCUGUCAGCAGCGGCAGACAGCAACACACGGAGGAAGAGGAGGACAAGAAGGAGGAGGAGAAACCAGCUCAGGAGGUGGUGGCAGAGACUGACACAAACUCCUGGAGGAAAGAGGAAGAAGAUAAGAAGGAAGAAGAGAAGGCACCUGUCGAGGACUCAACAACACAAGCCACAAAAGAUGAGGAGGAGACUGAGGCUGCAGCAACAGAAGUAGAGGUUGAUGCAGGAAAGAAAGACGCUCAUGAGGAAGCUGCUCCUGAUGUCGACAACGAGGAAGAGGAAAGGAAGAAGAAAGAAGAAGAGGAGAGACAGCAAAAAGAGUUGGAAGAAAAGCAGAGGAUAGAAGAGGAGGAGAGGCAAAAAAGGGAAAUGGAGGAAAAGCUAAAGAGAGAGGAAGAAGAGAGGGAGCAGAAGGAGGAGGAGGAGAGGAAGAAGAGGGGAGAGGAGGAACAACAACAAAGGGAAAUGGAGGAGAGGCUGAGAAAGGAGGAGGAAGAAGAAAAACGGAAAAAAGAGAUGGAGGAAAAACUGAAAAAAGAGGAAGAGGAAAAACAGAAGAAGGAGAUGGAGGAGCGGCUGAAGAGGGAGGAGGAGGAGAAACAGAAGAAGGAGAUGGAAGAGAAGAAGAAGAAAGAGGAAGAGGACAAACGAAAGAAGGAAAUGGAGGAGAAGAAGAAAAAGGAGGAGGAGGAAAAGAAGAAGAAGAAAGAGCUGGAGGAGAAGAAGAAGAAAGAGGAGGAGGAGAGACGGAAAAAGGAGAUGGAGGAGAAGAAGAAAGAAGAGGAGGAGAAGCGGAAAAAGGAGGCUGAGGAGAGGAAGAAAAAAGAAGAAGAGGAUAAACGUAAAAAGAGAGAGGUGGAAGAAAAGAAGAAGAAAGAGGAGGAGGAGAAGCCAAGGAAAUUUGGUUUCAAGGAAAAGAAUGAACCAGCCAAACAGAAUGGAGCUUUCAUUGAGAAUAAGCUGAAGAAAACAGAGAAGACAUCAAGGGACAACGCUCCCUCCACUAAGGCAGACGACCUGGAGCGACAGGAGGCUGAACGCAAGCUGCAGGAGCUGAAGCGCCGACGGAACGACGCAGAGAGUGAGGAGUUUGAGAAGAUGAAGCAGAAGCAGCAGGAUGCAGAGGCCGAGCUGGAGGAGCUGAAGAGGAAGAGAGAGGAGAGGAGGAAGAUCCUGGAGGAGGAGGAGAAGCAGAAGAAACAGGAGCUGGAGGAAAAGAAAGCCAAAGAACAGGAGGAGAGGAAGAGGAUGAGGGAGGAGAUAGAGAAGAGGAGGGCGGAGGCUGCAGAGAAGAAGAAACAGAAGGAGGAAGACACCACAAAACCUGCCUUUGCUAUCAGUCCCAAAGGCUCCUCCAAGAUCGGGGAGAAGGCAGAAUUCCUGAACAAAUCAGCCCAGAAAAACACUGCAGCCAGAGUGUCACACACUCCAAUUGUUUCCAAGAUAGGCAACAGACUGGAACAGUACGCGUCUGCCAUCCAGGGAAACAAAGAAGCCAAGUCCCCCAAGUCUCCAAUGGCAGAUAUUCCUACAGGAGGCACCCGCAGCAUCAAAAGCAUGUGGGAAAAAGGCAAUGUCGGCGGCUCCUCUGAAAGUCCAUCCCCUGUCAACAAGGAACUGGCUGGUAUCAAAGGAGGUGUGGCUGGACGUGUCAACAGUUGGAUGGCAAAGCCUCCAGAGGCAGAGAAGACGACACCGGCACCUGCACCAGCAGCAGCAGCAGCAUCACCAGCAGCAAAGCCAGCAGAUGUGAAACCAGGCGAUGUUGGUAACAAGCGUGGCAUGUGGGAAACCAAGAAGGGCUCUACACCUGCCAAGUCUACCUAAUAGAUGGGUGAAAGAGGUGCCAGUUGGGGUAAAGAGCAAGUUUGUCACAAAUGCAGGCGUAAGACCGUAACCACUGACAUUACCUGACCAAACACAAGGCUCUGCUGCUGUAUGUGCAUUCAUUUCCCUUCAACACACCUGUGUUUUGCGAGACAUUCACACCAGAAAGAGGAAAAGUCGAGGGACCGAGAUGAGUGACGUUUAAGGAUUCCAGAAUCAAAGUUUUCCAGCUUUAUUUUUAUGAGUAACUUUUGCACUUUUCUGCUCAUUUGAUAGUAAAAAGAUAUUGAUGUGUAUCCAUCAGACUUGACUUGAUCUUUUUUUUAAUUAAGAAAUUCAAAGAUGUCAUACCUUAUAAGGGUUUUCAGGGUAAAGUACCACAUGUUAAAUGAUUAAUAGUUAAUAUAGCAGAUUAUGUAGUAUCCAUCUGGUUAGUCCUCGAUUUCUUCUUCCAUUCACAAAGUUGAAAUAAAAGCUUUAGCAAACUUUCCGAUGGCUGUCAGGAUGCUUAAAUGUUAUAUUGCUCUCAAGCCACACUGACAUGUCUACUCUUCUUGUGACGUUAUGGUCAUAUAUACCCAAUAAUAAGCAUUUGUGUUUUAUUGUCAUACACACGCACUGCUUUUUGGGAUGAUAGUCACAGUUUUGACUCCAGGCCUGUACAUAUCUAAUUUGUUUCUUAAAUUGGCACCACUUCCUCAUGAAGGACUCUUUAAAUAAGGUUUAUAAACAGUAAAUAAUGAAUUAUUUACUGUUGCUCUAUAGAUCUGUUCUAAGUCAUUAAGUUGUGAGGAAUCUCUUUGGCUGGUGUUUUUGCUGAUAAGAGACCCCUUAUUAAGGAUUUAUAAGUUGUAACAAUAGGUGUUGCCAAGGGAUGGCAAAGUCAGGUGGUCAGUCACCAUUUGGAAUACAAGAAUCUCAACAUCUGCUCAAGAGAAUGUUACAUUUUAUUCAGACAUUCAUGAUUCCCAGAGGAUGAAGCCUGCACACCUUGGUGAUCCCCUGAGUUUUCCUCUGGUGCCACCAUGAGGUUGAUAUUUGGGGUUCUGAGUGAAAUGCAUCAACAGUUAUUGGAUGAAUAGCCAUGAUAUUUGUUACAGACACUCUAGUCCUUCUCAGGAUGAUUUGAAGUAACUCUGGUGAUCCCCUAACUUCUCAUCUAGUGCCGUCCAGCAUUGUCCAACACUUUGAUUUAUGAGCAAAUGCCUAAAACUAAUCACAUUCCCAUCAUCCUCACCUGCACUUUGUUGCUAAUUAGCUAAUGUUAGCAUGUUAACAAGCUAAAAUGAGAUGAGUUUCAUAACAGCAUUAGAACCAAACACCAGCCAAAGGUGUUUAUUACAAGACAUCAGUAAAUGACUUGUUAACUACUAAUAAAGCCAUUGGUUUCCUUACACAAGAGUCCUUAGACCUGAAGAUAAUAUCAAUGGUACAGCCCAUGACCGAUCAACAUUUCUGUCAACAACACCUGGGUGUGUUACAUUUUUUGACUUCUGACAGUUUAAAAAUCACAUUGUUUUGUAAUAUAAGCACAAGAGAGAGUAAAGUAAAUGUGUGUGCAAGCGCUUAUCCAGUGCAACAGCUAUUCAGUGACCAAAUGCAGUUGUGUUUAACAAGCUGGUAACAGUCUGACUCAUUGCUUAUGUAUCAUCAGUUUACAUGCCACUAUACAGUAUCUUUGCAGUUUUGUUUGCAUUGCAGCAGCAGUAAAGACUGUUGGCUCUUGUUUUGAUGAUGCCUGUAAUUAACUUUAAAUUGUAGCCUGUUUUUAUCAGUCAGUGCACAUGAUGAGUUGAAUCCUGCCAAAAUAUAUUGUGAGUCUUUCAGUAUUGUUGUAGUGGACUGCUCUGUUUGAGUGUUUGAAAUUACUGUUUAUGCUUGCUUCAGCAAUAAAAAAAAAAGAGAGAAAAAAAGA